AACUGAGUCACGAUUGGUUGUCACACCCAUUCACAUCCCCAGUGAGAGCCAGCUGUUGUGGGAGGGGCUCCUCUGACUGCUGAGACAUGCAGCUCCUCUGACUGCUGAGACAUGCGGCUCCUCUGACUGCUGAGACAUGCGGCUCCUCUGACUGCUGAGACAUGCAGCUCCUCUGACUGCUGAGACAUGCAGCUUCUAAGAUUGACUUAACUACCAGGUUCUCAGACUCUUAGACACGACUUUAAACUGUGGUUACUAUUUUAAGUGACUUUGUAAAUCCACAUAUAUGUACAUGAUGUAUAUGUACAUUCAUCCCAUUGGUUCUGCUCCUCUAGAGGACCCUGACUAAUACAACAUACAUCCCCAUUUAUCAUCCACAGCUUUGUACUUUUUUAACAAAUUUUUUCCCAAAAUGUGAAACUGUCCUUUCGUGACUUGUCUGGCUUGGUUCUCACAGAAAGAAAACUCUAAGCACUUAUCCACAUUAAAGGCCACGUGGUACUCGUGCCUUGGUGUUGCUGAACACCAUUCACAAGGACUCAUCACCUUGUUUGUGCCCUCUCGUCUGUGGUGGGCAUUUCAAUUGUUUCUGCCUUCUUACUGUUAGAAGUGGUGCUGUUAUGGACAUUGGUGCUUCGCACAAACCUCUGGAUUCAGUGGUCCUGGGUCGUCACCAGGGAGUGGAAUGACUGGGUCAUGUGGAAACUGCUCCGUCUGCGGGGGAGCCACGAGCCCCAUUUUCAGAGUAGCCUCACUAUUGUGUCCACUCCCACUGGCAGUUGUAGUGAGCUUUCCAUUUUCUCCACACACGCUAGUCAGUGCUUGGAGUCUGCCUCCCACCUUUUGUACGGCGGCAGCUGCAUAGCCCCUGCUGUGGACCAGUGAGGGUCUCACCAGAGAAAGGCAUGCUAAUGCCAAAGAAUUCCAAAACCGCUUCUAGGGAUGAUUGGUUUCUCCGCUAUUGAAGGAGUCAGAUUCUAAAAUCAGCUGCUUUACUGUUUUUUUGUUGUUUUGUUUUGUUUUUUGUUUUUUAAAAUGCAAACUGAGAAGAGAAGUAACAGGCAAGCUAACUCAGUGUCUGCCAGAGAGAUCUCAGUAGCAAUCAAGUGACAACUUUUCGUGCAUGGUCUGGUCCUUCCUCUUAGAAUUUGGAAUCAUGGAGUGCACGUGCCAGGAUAGACUAUCAGAGAAAGAGUGGGGGUGGGGAUGGGAGAAGAACAUGAAUUGGGGCAAAGGACCCUUUCCCUCCAUCCAUGAGAGUGUUAAUUCCUGUCUCCUGGGAGCUUUAUCACCUUCACGUCUUCCACACGUGAGCCUUUGGUAGCAACACGCUCUUAUUACACGUGUUUCCAUUAACAAAAGGAAUAUCUCCGCGAGGUCCUGAGGUGCUUACAGAAAUGCACACUAGUUCAGUGGUAGCCAGAGGGAUCCGAUCCAUCUGCCUAACGGCCUUCUGGCAGUUAAGCAUUUUACUUUAAGGCAAAUAAAAUGUCAGCCACCAUUAGGCAGCAUCUGGCAACAAUAUGGUCAUUUCAUCCCUGGGGACCGACCUCUCCCCCAGAAAAGAUGGUACUUGAAAUAGGAGAGGCUUUUGACUGCAGGACCUCCUAUCCCUCCCACCCAGGCAUGGUGGCUAAGGAGUGGGCAGACUGCCACCCACAGAAGGACACAGGGAGCCAGAUCAAAUGUGAACCUAGGGGGCAAACUUCUCAUACAGCAGUGACCAAAGGCUGUUCACCCUCGCUAUAUGGGUUUGUGGUUAAGGGGGAGUCUGAUCUCUAAGCUGGCCUAGAUUAGCUCUACAAAAUGUAAAACAGUCUCCGCAACCACUUGAAGAAGAACUUGGGCUGACUGAACUAAAAGCAGUGGUGGGCUGUGAGUGAAGAGAGAUGCUCAAAGAGGAGACUCCGCCCCUUGGAGUUCUCCGCCCACCCCCCUCCAUCCACCCGUGAAAGGGGCAAAACAAGCAGUUCUUUUGAAAGAGAGGGUGAGGAUGUGUAACCUUCUCUGGUGGGAGCAUCAGUUUAGGGGUUCGAGACCACAUGGGUAAUAAGAAGAGCUAAUUUGCUAUCACCAGGGAAGCUGCCUAAGACUGGAAAAAUAACACAUUUCUUCAAUAGUCUGGGCGAGUGUACGGGUUAAAAAAACAAACAAACAAACAAACAAACAAACAAACUUAUCAAUUGGGCUGGCUUGCUUCUCACACGCAGUGCUGGGAUGUUCCCUGUUCUGAAUUGGGAGGAAUUGUGUUCUUCAAAUAAGCCAACUGUGCUGUGCGCCGUGCUGGGAAGCACAUUCCCACUGUGGCACGGUCUCUGUGGGAAAUAGAUGCAGGGUAGGCAGUUUUCCAUCAAGCUCCUUACAUAUAGGCUUAUCAUAUUUCUAGGCCUCCAGUUUGACCAACAUGGUCACAUCAAUGAAAUCAUGAACUUUGUAAAAACAGAGUUCAACUGGAGUGUCAGGAGCAUUUACUUUGAUGAAAUGGUUGACAUUGUCCAAAACUUCUCACCAACGUCAUGGCUUCUCUCUCAAGCUACCUUACUAAUAUUGGUAAAGUCUAUCCUUAUUUUUUUCAAAGUAAAGACCCUAGCGCUUUAAAGAAUAAAAUACAAUAAGUAAAAAAACUUUGAAUGUAAGAAUAUUGGUACACACAUGUGUUUGAUUUCUUUGGUUGUUUGUGAAUAGUUCUAGCGAAGUAGAGCUGGCCUUAAACUCCUCAUCUUCUGCCUCUACAUCCCAUAGAUGGAAUCCCACCCCGCGGAUGUAACGUACAAUGCACAUUACCCAUGUACCACUGGAUUGGGCCACAUGCACAUUCCUAUAGAGCCCUGAAAAGCAAAGAAAGCAUCCUCAGGCCAACCAAUCUUUCUUGUUUUAAUUUUCUUAGUCUUAGUUUAAUAAUGCCUUAUUACAAUGUUAGAAAACUGAGCUACUGCACAGUUUUAAUGUGUAGGAAAGUGGUAAAUUUUAAAGUAACACUAAUAUUACUUUUAAAAAUGUUUUCCAAGAUAAUUGUCUUUGGGAAAAUGUGUUGCUAAUAAAUAGAUAAAUAAAUAAAUAAAUAAAUAGC
RNAcentral lists this long non-coding RNA (3070 nucleotides) under Mus musculus (house mouse). RNAcentral's name for it is "long non-coding RNA chr6:5954962-5958032". The record is from RNAcentral. Lineage: Eukaryota; Metazoa; Chordata; Mammalia; Rodentia; Muridae.